GACGAACGCUGGCGGCGUGCUUAACACAUGCAAGUCGAACGGAAAGGCCCUGCUUUUGUGGGGUGCUCGAGUGGCGAACGGGUGAGUAACACGUGAGUAACCUGCCCUUGACUUUGGGAUAACUUCAGGAAACUGGGGCUAAUACCGGAUAGGAGCUCCUGCUGCAUGGUGGGGGUUGGAAAGUUUCGGCGGUUGGGGAUGGACUCGCGGCUUAUCAGCUUGUUGGUGGGGUAGUGGCUUACCAAGGCUUUGACGGGUAGCCGGCCUGAGAGGGUGACCGGCCACAUUGGGACUGAGAUACGGCCCAGACUCCUACGGGAGGCAGCAGUGGGGAAUAUUGCGCAAUGGGCGGAAGCCUGAUGCAGCAACGCCGCGUGCGGGAUAACGGCCUUCGGGUUGUAAACCUCUUUCGCCUGUGACGAAGCGUGAGUGACGGUAAUGGGUAAAGAAGCACCGGCUAACUACGUG
This 468-nucleotide ribosomal RNA is filed under the name uncultured bacterium. RNAcentral's name for it is "partial 16S ribosomal RNA". It matches the Rfam family "Bacterial small subunit ribosomal RNA", at positions 28 to 507 of the family's 1533-position model. The record is from RNAcentral.